This 1398-nucleotide ribosomal RNA is filed under the name uncultured bacterium. Its description in RNAcentral is "16S ribosomal RNA". It matches the Rfam family "Bacterial small subunit ribosomal RNA". The record is from RNAcentral.
UUCGCCCUUAGAGUUUGAUCCUGGCUCAGGAUGAACGCUGGCGGCGUGCCUAACACAUGCAAGUCGAGCGAAGCACUUUGCUUUGAUUCUUUCGGGAGGAAAAGUAAUUUGACUGAGCGGCGGACGGGUGAGUAACGCGUGGGUAACCUGCCUCAUACAGGGGGAUAACAGUUAGAAAUGACUGCUAAUACCGCAUAAGCGCACAGGACCGCAUGGUCCGGUGUGAAAAACUCCGGUGGUAUGAGAUGGACCCGCGUCUGAUUAGUUAGUUGGCGGGGUAACGGCCCACCAAGGCGACGAUCGGUAGCCGGACUGAGAGGUUGAACGGCCACAUUGGGACUGAGACACGGCCCAGACUCCUACGGGAGGCAGCAGUGGGGGAUAUUGCACAAUGGGGGAAACCCUGAUGCAGCAACGCCGCGUGAGGGAAGAAGGUUUUCGGAUUGUAAACCUCUGUCCUAGGUGAAGAUAAUGACGGUAACCUGGGAGGAAGCUCCGGCUAACUACGUGCCAGCAGCCGCGGUAAUACGUAGGGAGCGAGCGUUGUCCGGAAUUACUGGGUGUAAAGGGUGCGUAGGCGGCCUUGUGGGUCAGGCGUGAAAUACAUGGGCUUAACCCAUGGACUGCGCUUGAAACUAUAAGGCUUGAGUGAAGUAGAGGCAGGUGGAAUUCCCGGUGUAGCGGUGAAAUGCGUAGAGAUCGGGAGGAACACCAGUGGCGAAGGCGGCCUGCUGGGCUUUAACUGACGCUGAGGCACGAAAGCAUGGGUAGCAAACAGGAUUAGAUACCCUGGUAGUCCAUGCCGUAAACGAUGAUUACUAGGUGUGGGUGGACUGACCCCAUCCGUGCCGGAGUUAACACAAUAAGUAUCCCACCUGGGGAGUACGAUCGCAAGGUUGAAACUCAAAGGAAUUGACGGGGGCCCGCACAAGCGGUGGAUUAUGUGGUUUAAUUCGAUGCAACGCGAAGAACCUUACCAGGGCUUGACAUCCUGCUAACGAGGUAGAGAUACGUCAGGUGCCCUUCGGGGAAGGCAGAGACAGGUGGUGCAUGGUUGUCGUCAGCUCGUGUCGUGAGAUGUUGGGUUAAGUCCCGCAACGAGCGCAACCCUUAUUGUUAGUUGCUACGCAAGAGCACUCUAGCGAGACUGCCGUUGACAAAACGGAGGAAGGUGGGGACGACGUCAAAUCAUCAUGCCCCUUAUGUCCUGGGCUACACACGUAAUACAAUGGCGGUAAACAGAGGGAUGCAAAACUGCGAAGUGGAGCGAACCCCUAAAAGCCGUCCCAGUUCAGAUUGCAGUCUGCAACUCGACUGCAUGAAGUCGGAAUCGCUAGUAAUCGCGGAUCAGCAUGCCGCGGUGAAUACGUUCCCGGGCCUUGUACACACCGCCCGUCA